GUGAGGAAUUUUCCGCAAUGGGCGAAAGCCUGACGGAGCAAUGCCGCGUGAAGGAUGAAGGCCUAUGGGUUGUAAACUUCUUUUCUCAGAAAAGAAUUAUGACGGUAUCUGAGGAAUAAGCAUCGGCUAACUCUGUGCCAGCAGCCGCGGUAAGACAGAGGAUGCAAGCGUUAUCCGUAAUGAUGGGGCGUAAAGCGUCUGUAGGUUGUUUAAAAAGUAUUCUGUCAAAGAUUAGGGCUUAACCCUAGAUAGGAAGAAUAAACUUUUAAGCUAGAGUUUGGUAGAGGCAGAGGGAAUUCCCGGUGGAGCGGUGAAAUGCGUAGAUAUCGGGAGGAACACCAAAGGCGAAGGCACUCUGCUGGGCCAAUACUAACACUGAGAGACGAAAGCGAGGGGAGCAAAUGGGAUUAGAAACCCCAGUAGUCC
Molecule: ribosomal RNA, 426 nt
Filed under: uncultured bacterium
Lineage: Bacteria
Description: partial 16S ribosomal RNA
Rfam family: Bacterial small subunit ribosomal RNA
Source: RNAcentral